CCUACGUGCGGCAGCAGUGGGGAAUAUUGCACACUGGGGUAAACCCUGAUGCAUCGACGCCGCGUGAGUGAAUACGUAUUUCGGUAUGUAAAGCUCUAUCCGCAUGGAAGAAAAUGACGGUCCCUGAUUAAGAAGCCCCGGCUCACUACGUGCCAGCAGCCGCGGUAAUACGUAGGGGGCAAGCGUUAUCCGGAUUUCCUGGGUGUAAAGGGAGCGUAGACGGCAGCACAAGUCUGGAGUGAAAUGCCGGUGCUUAACCCCGGAACUGCUUUGGAAACUGUGCAGCUAGAGUGCAGGAGAGGUAAGUGGAAUUCCUAGUGUAGCGGUGAAAUGCGUAGAUAUUAGGAGGAACACCAGUGGCGAAGGCGGCUUACUGGACUGUAACUGACGUUGAGGCUCGAAAGCGUGGGGAGCAAACAGGAUUAGAUACCCUUGUAGUC
This 440-nucleotide ribosomal RNA is filed under the name uncultured bacterium. RNAcentral's name for it is "partial 16S ribosomal RNA". It matches the Rfam family "Bacterial small subunit ribosomal RNA", at positions 338 to 795 of the family's 1533-position model. The record is from RNAcentral.